Oncorhynchus gorbuscha (pink salmon) is the source of this 725-nucleotide long non-coding RNA. RefSeq lists it as uncharacterized. Lineage: Eukaryota; Metazoa; Chordata; Actinopteri; Salmoniformes; Salmonidae. The transcript is spliced from 4 exons. The record is from RefSeq and is a predicted model, not a curated record.
AUCUUGGAUAGGGAGCGGGCACGCACCAUCCCAUACUGCCCAUCGUCUGAGGACCAUCGCUUUAGCUCAGGUUAUAUUACAAAAUGUCGGUUUGGCGUGAGAUUACUGUUGUUUUAGUAUUGUAAUGCCAUUACAUCGCAAACUAACCAGCUCUGAUUUAAUGUCUGUGUUUGUGUGGGAGUGUGUGUGUGCUUGUUGCUUACCAGGGCGCAUGUUGUACCUAUCCAGGCUCUUCCUACGGUUCAUGCGGUGUUGUUGUUGCUGCAUGGAAUCCAUGAACUCCAUGUCACCCCGGUGACCACCACCUCGCUCCUCCUGGAUCUGCUGAUUGUCGACGAGAGUGAGUGCGAGAGUGGGGUGGAAAAUACUCUUCUAUAUCCACAUCCAAGUCCAUGGGAUGAACAGAGAGCAGGCGCUUGUUCUUUCGCAUCUGACAGAACAACAGGAUGGAGACAUAAAGAGAAGUGGGGAGAGAGGGAGAAGAAGGGGUGACUUCUUUUCUUCUCAAAUUGUGUAACCCCUUGUUACGUUUGCAUAUCAUAGUGCUUAUGCUGGUGUUGUCAACUCCACUAUGAUAUGCAAAAGUACCACAGGGUUAAGCAGUUUUCAGAUACAUAUCAGCUGUCCCAUCGCCGUGUCAGAGCCCUGACAAAAUGAAUGAUCCAUUGUGCUGUUGUGUGUGGAAACACAAUGAUGGGGACUGACGUGGGGAGGAUAAGUGGCUG